Procambarus clarkii (red swamp crayfish) is the source of this 86-nucleotide non-coding RNA. The record is from the annotation of a RefSeq genome assembly. Lineage: Eukaryota; Metazoa; Arthropoda; Malacostraca; Decapoda; Cambaridae.
UCUGGCGUGGCCGAGUGAUCUAAGGCGUUGGAUUUAGGCUCCAGUCUCUAUGGGGGCGUGGGUUCGAAUCCCACCGCUGCCAAGAA